GGGUUUGUAGCUCAGUUGGCUAGAGCGAUUUUGUGUCGAGGGUUCAAGUCCUUCCAAACCCA
This 62-nucleotide transfer RNA is filed under the name Dialister sp. RNAcentral's name for it is "tRNA-OTHER". It matches the Rfam family "tRNA". Rfam says of the family: Transfer RNA (tRNA) molecules are approximately 80 nucleotides in length. Lineage: Bacteria; Bacillati; Bacillota; Negativicutes; Veillonellales; Veillonellaceae. RNAcentral also lists the same sequence under 1 other name. The record is from RNAcentral.